RNAcentral lists this transfer RNA (72 nucleotides) under Camelus bactrianus (Bactrian camel). It matches the Rfam family "tRNA". Rfam says of the family: Transfer RNA (tRNA) molecules are approximately 80 nucleotides in length. The record is from Rfam by way of RNAcentral. RNAcentral also lists the same sequence under 1 other name. Lineage: Eukaryota; Metazoa; Chordata; Mammalia; Artiodactyla; Camelidae.
GAGGGCUUAGCUCAGUGGUAGAGCAUGUGCUUAGCAUGCACGAGGUCCUGGGUUUAAUUCCCAGUACUUCCA